AUGUCACAAGCAAAGCUCAUCCUCGCAACGGUGACGGCACUUCAGCUCCUCAUGGCGACAGCCGUCGCCGCCGUCCAGGUAGCCUUACCUGGGUGCCCGCAGGCCUGCGGCAACGUCACCGUCCCCUACCCUUUCGGCUUCCGGCGAGGCUGCUUUCGCAAGGGCUUCAACCUCACCUGCGACGAGACGCGCCAUCCACCAAAGCUGCUCCUGGGCGACGGCGUGGAGGUGGACGCCAUCUCCCUGGCGGACGGCACGGUGCAUGUCCAGACCAAGGUCGUGGCAUUCCGACCACUUUACACAAACGGUGCCGUCGGCGCGAGGAGAUCUAUCGACUACAACUACUCGUGGUACGGCGGCCUGCCGGAAGUGUACAAGAGCGGCGCGCAGCUCGCGGUGUCCACGGAGCACAACGUCUUUGUGGCCAUCGGGUGCAACUUCAUCGGCUACCUCGUCGCAGUCAGCGAUGGGGGGCGCGAGUAUGUCAGCACGUGCUCCACGCUGUGCAACGGGAAAACCCGGGACGCCUUGUGCACGGGCGUCGGCUGCUGCUGGACGACCAUCGCGCAGCGCUACCCCGGGUACCAGGUAAUGUUCAAGGAUUUGGACGAUACGGUGACAGCGUACACGGGCCAAAGCCGUGCGUCGGUGGCCGCGUUCAUAGUCGAUCGCGAGUGGUUCGUAGGCACCAUGCAGAACACUGUCAGCUUCAAUGAUUUCGUCAAUGAUGAUUUCGGUAACGGUCCGUCCAGCAUGCCCACCGUUCUGCAAUGGUGGCUAGACGUAGAUAGCGACCGUGACUUGGUCGUGAAGGAUCCACGUUCUGCAUCUCGUUGGAGAUGCAUAAGCUCCAACAGCUUCGCUGCCUACAUCGGCGACGCAGUGAACAAAGUAAGGUGCAACUGCUCGGAUGGAUACGAAGGCAACUCGUACAUCGUUGACGGAUGUCAAGAUAUCGAUGAGUGCUUACGACCAGAUGUUUAUCCCUGCCAUGGAACAUGCAUCAAUAUGCCAGGGACAUACCGAUGCUCAGCAAAGAAAAGAAUCAUCAGCUUAGCAGGUCUAAUUACCAUAAUAGCAAUUGUUGCUGGUUUUGGCCUACUAUUUUCACUCCUAGGUGUUGCCCAAGUCACAAAAAAACUCAAGAAACGAAGAGCCAAGAAGACCAGACAAAAAUUCUUUAAGAAAAACCAUGGACUGCUUCUGCAACAGUUAAUCUCUUCGAACAAAGAUAUAGCCGAAAAGAUGAAGAUUUUUAGCUUAGAAGAGCUAGAACAAGCAACCAACAAAUUUGAUCAUAAUCGGAUACUUGGCGGCGGUGGGCAUGGCACAGUGUAUAAAGCCAUCUUAUCUGAUCAACGUGUCGUGGCCAUCAAGAAGGCCAAAAUUGUUGUGCAGAGGGAAAUCGACCAGUUUAUAAAUGAGGUUGCCAUACUUUCACAGAUAAACCAUAGGAAUGUGGUGAAACUUUUUGGUUGUUGUCUCGAGACAGAAGUUCCUCUAUUAGUUUAUGAGUUCAUAUCGAAUGGAACUCUCUCUUGUCAUCUCCAUGGCCAAAGUGAGAACCAUUUGUCAUGGAAAACUCGAUUGAGGAUAGCAUUGGAAACUGCAAGGGCCAUUGCAUAUCUACACUCUGCUGCUUCAAUAUCAGUAUACCACAGAGAUAUCAAAUGUGCCAAUAUUCUACUUACUGAUACUUUAACAUCAAAAGUAUCGGAUUUUGGAGCUUCAAGGUCAAUUGCAAUAGACGAGACAGGAAUACUUACAGCUGUUCAAGGAACCCAUGGUUACCUUGAUCCUGAAUACUACUACACUAGUCGACUCACGGAGAAAAGCGAUGUUUACAGCUUUGGUGUCAUCCUAGCAGAGUUACUGACAAGGGUGACACCAGUUUUUCAUUCCCAUUCGUCAGAAGUCACAAGCCUAGCAUCGCAUUUUGUGUCUCUUAUAAGGGACAAUCGAUUAUUAGAUAUUCUGGAUACAAAAAUUGUUGAGGAGGGAGGGGCUGAAGAUGCUGAGGUGGUUGCAAGACUGGCAGAAGCAUGCUUAAGUUUAAAAGGUGAAGAAAGGCCUACAAUGAGACAAGUGGAGACAACGCUUGAGGAUGUUCAGAACUCAACAGUCAAUCUUAGUUCUCAGAUCACAAGAGUGAACCAGAAUGCUAUAAAUGAUCAGUCAUACAAGGGAAGCAAAGGCGGAGAAGGAACCAGACUGUACAGCUUGGAAAAAGAGUUCAUCCAAUCAUCUGAAAUUCCAAGAUGA
Molecule: ribosomal RNA, 2262 nt
Filed under: Triticum aestivum (bread wheat)
Lineage: Eukaryota; Viridiplantae; Streptophyta; Magnoliopsida; Poales; Poaceae
Description: partial small subunit ribosomal RNA
Source: RNAcentral